This 122-nucleotide ribosomal RNA is filed under the name archaeon. The record is from RNAcentral.
GGUGUCGGCCAUAGGGGUGCGGGAACCACGCGAUCCCGUUCCGAACUCGCCAGUGAAACCGCACCCCGUUCCCGGUGGUACUGUGGUGCGGGAGCCCACGGGAAGCCGGGAAGCCGAUGCCA